Molecule: long non-coding RNA, 807 nt
Organism: Daktulosphaira vitifoliae (grape phylloxera)
Lineage: Eukaryota; Metazoa; Arthropoda; Insecta; Hemiptera; Phylloxeridae
Exons: 3
Source: RefSeq, a predicted model, not a curated record
ACCAAUAUAUUAGGCAUUUUUUUUAUGUCGGGGGGUGUCCAGACAUGGAGGACACCCCCCCCAAAAUACGCCACUGGUGACAUUUUUCAAAUCAUCAACGAUUGUUUUACUCUUUUUACAAAUUAUGUUUUUCGAGACAUUCGCCAUUUUCACAGCGACUAGAUAAUUUGUCAAGACUGCUCUUUUUCCCUGUUCACUCUCACAUAUAUAUCUAACUGAAAAAUUCAAUAAAAUAAAAAUUUUUUGUUGCUUAAAGUGGUUAUCAUUAAAAGUUUUAGUGCAUAUACGAGAACAGUAUUUGAUUUUUGUAUGACUAGAGAAAUGGACUCAAAUUUUAGUUUUUGUGGCAACACUAAACAAGCUUUUAAUAAGUUUCACAUUUUUAAAAUACUUCGUGAUGCUUUGUUUGGCCAAAUCAUAAUACCUGAACACGAAAGAACAUUUAACAAAAUAAUAGAUAAUAUUUUUAAGCAUUCUGGCAAUAAUAAAGCAUCACACUAAUAAAAUCGUAUUGUUUUUUUGUUAUUCAAUUACAUUUUAUUUUUUUGUAAAUGAUUUUUUAAAUUUAUUUACUUAAAUUGUUUCACAGUUUUUUUAUUAAUAAGUUAAAACAAAAUAUAGCAUUUUAGGAAUCAAAAUAAAAACAGUAAAAAAAAACAUGGCAAUCUUAUGCCAUCUUAUUGGAUGCUACUUAUGUGUAUUACUCCUUCUUUGUACAUAUGGCAAUUAUUUUCUUUUAUUCCAUUUUAUGAAAAUUAAAUUAAAAUUACUAAUUGUUUUUGUAACCACAGUAAUAUUUUUUAAUAU